CGGCGGACGGGUGAGUAAUGCCUAGGAAUCUGCCUGGUAGUGGGGGACAACGUUUCGAAAGGAACGCUAAUACCGCAUACGUCCUACGGGAGAAAGCAGGGGACCUUCGGGCCUUGCGCUAUCAGAUGAGCCUAGGUCGGAUUAGCUAGUUGGUGAGGUAAUGGCUCACCAAGGCGACGAUCCGUAACUGGUCUGAGAGGAUGAUCAGUCACACUGGAACUGAGACACGGUCCAGACUCCUACGGGAGGCAGCAGU
Molecule: ribosomal RNA, 256 nt
Filed under: uncultured Pseudomonas sp.
Lineage: Bacteria; Pseudomonadati; Pseudomonadota; Gammaproteobacteria; Pseudomonadales; Pseudomonadaceae
Description: partial 16S ribosomal RNA
Rfam family: Bacterial small subunit ribosomal RNA
Source: RNAcentral